Molecule: unclassified non-coding RNA, 390 nt
Filed under: Hevea brasiliensis (rubber tree)
Lineage: Eukaryota; Viridiplantae; Streptophyta; Magnoliopsida; Malpighiales; Euphorbiaceae
Source: RNAcentral
UCACAGUACGUCGAAAAUGAACAUUAUUAUAUAUUUAAAUAAGUAAAGUAAUUUCGAUAUAACUGUAUCUACGUACAAUACAAUAUAAACCUCCCGGCGUCGUGGACUGUUAUCAUCCAGAACCCCAUGCCGUCAAUUCGUCCCGCGUCGGAUCUGCUUGCCCUGCAAUAGAUCUGCUACCCACGCGCUGGAGAUGCGCCGGAUCUGCUCGGCCUGCGAUGGAGAUGUGCCGCAUCUGCUUGCCCCGUGUCGGAAGAUGCGCCGUAUCUGUUUGCCCCGCGUCGGAAGAUGCACUGGAUCUGCUCCGCCAAGUUAUCCGUCUCCUGCCUGCAAUUCACACCACCAGAAAGGAGAAAAGAAAGGGAGGAGGAAGAAGAAUAGAGAGGGAAG